Molecule: ribosomal RNA, 553 nt
Filed under: uncultured archaeon
Lineage: Archaea
Description: bacterial SSU rRNA
Rfam family: Archaeal small subunit ribosomal RNA
Source: RNAcentral
ACGGGGCGCAGCAGGCGCGAAAACUUUGCAAUGUGCGAAAGCACGACAAGGUUAAUCCGAGUGGUUUCUGCUAAAGGAAUCUUUUGUUUGUCAUAGAAACACUAAUGAAUAAGGGGUGGGCAAGUUCUGGUGUCAGCCGCCGCGGUAAAACCAGCACCUCAAGUGGUCAGGAUGAUUAUUGGGCCUAAAGCAUCCGUAGCCGGUUUUGUAAGUUUUCGGUUAAAUCUAUACGCUCAACGUAUGGGCUUCCGGGAAUACUGCAAGGCUAGGGAGUGGGAGAGGUAGACGGUACUCGGUAGGAAGGGGUAAAAUCCUUUGAUCUAUUGAUGACCACCUGUGGCGAAGGCGGUCUACCAGAACACGUCCGACGGUGAGGGAUGAAAGCUGGGGGCGCAAACCGGAUUAGAUACCCGGGUAGUCCCAGCUGUAAACGAUGCAAACUUGGUGAUGCAUUGGCUUGAUGCCAAUGCAGUGCCGCAGGGAAGCCGUUAAGUUUGCCGCCUGGGAAGUACGUACGCAAGUAUGAAACUUAAAGGAAUUGGCGGGGGAGCAC